AGUGAACGCUGGCGGUAGGCCUAACACAUGCAAGUCGAACGGCAGCACAGGAGAGCUUGCUCUCUGGGUGGCGAGUGGCGGACGGGUGAGGAAUACAUCGGAAUCUACUCUGUCGUGGGGGAUAACGUAGGGAAACUUACGCUAAUACCGCAUACGACCUACGGGUGAAAGCAGGGGAUCUUCGGACCUUGCGCGAUUGAAUGAGCCGAUGUCGGAUUAGCUAGUUGGCGGGGUAAAGGCCCACCAAGGCGACGAUCCGUAGCUGGUCUGAGAGGAUGAUCAGCCACACUGGAACUGAGACACGGUCCAGACCCCUACGGGAGGCAGCAGUGGGGAAUAUUGGACAAUGGGCGCAAGCCUGAUCCAGCCAUACCGCGUGGGUGAAGAAGGCCUUCGGGUUGUAAAGCCCUUUUGUUGGGAAAGAAAUCCAGCUGGUUAAUACCCGGUAGGGAUGACGGUACCCAAAGAAUAAGCACCGGCUAACUUCGUGCCAGCAGCCGCAGUAA
This 506-nucleotide ribosomal RNA is filed under the name uncultured bacterium. RNAcentral describes it as "partial 16S ribosomal RNA". It matches the Rfam family "Bacterial small subunit ribosomal RNA", at positions 29 to 523 of the family's 1533-position model. The record is from RNAcentral.